RNAcentral lists this ribosomal RNA (420 nucleotides) under Triticum aestivum (bread wheat). Its description in RNAcentral is "partial small subunit ribosomal RNA". Lineage: Eukaryota; Viridiplantae; Streptophyta; Magnoliopsida; Poales; Poaceae. The record is from RNAcentral.
AUGGUCCUCGCUACCUUGAUCGCCUCCAUCACCUACGCCUCCGGGCUCAGCCCGCCCGGCGGCUUCGAAGGCGAGGACGACAGGAUCAACCCCUUCACCAUCUCCGGGACGCCCGUCCGCCGCAACACGUUCCCCAGGAGGUAUACGACCUUCUACUACUGCAACACGGCCGCCUUCGCGCUGUCUCUCUCCAUUAUGCUCCUGGUGGCCAGCGAGAACCUGCGUAGGCUGGCCAAGAUCAAGGUGCUGGAGAUCCUCGUGGCGUUGGACGUGCUGGCGCUGCUCAUAGCAUACAUCGCCGGCUCCACGUUUGAGUUGAAAGAGCUCGGGGUUUGCGCCGGGCUGGUGCUCAUCGUGCCGGUGGCCCUCGUCGUCAUGUCGUCUCGCGUUUGUGGGAAAUACUUCUGGGACGAACCCUGA